AGAGUUGAUCCUGGCUCAGAACGAACGCUGGCGGCGUGGCUAAGACAUGCAAGUCGUACGGAUCAUUUUUUUGGGUAACUAAGGAGAUGAUUAGUGGCGAACGGGUGAGUAAUACAUAGGUAACGUGCCUUUAGCACCGGGAUAACUGCGGUAGUAAUACCUUUAGCGAAAGCGCAGAUAAUACCGGAUGAUAUCUUCGAGACGUAUGUUUUGAAGAUCAAAGGGCUUCGGCUGGCUUUAGAGCGGCCUAUGUCGUUUCAGCUAGUUGGUGAGGUAACGGCCCACCAAGGCGAUGACGCGUAGCGGGACUGAGAGGUUGGCCCGCCACAUCGGGACUGAGACACUGCCCGGACCUCCACGGAGGGCUGCAGUAACGAAUCUUGCGCAAUGGGCGAAAGCCUGACGCAGCGACGCCGCGUGUAGGAUGAAGUCCCUCGGGAUGUAAACUACUGUCAGGGUGAAGAAAGGUAGCUUCGGCUAUUUGAUCGAUCCCAGAGGAAGGCCCGGCUAACUUCGUGCCAGCAGCCGCGGUAAUACGAAGGGGCCAAGCGUUGUUCGGAAUCACUGGGCUUAAAGCGCACGUAUGCGGAAAUCUAAGUGCUUUGUGAAAUCCCCCGGCUCAACCGGGGAAUUGCAGGGCAUACUGGUUUUCUUGAGGCAAUCAGGGGUAUGUAGAACUCUAGGUGGAGCGGUGAAAUGCGUAGAUAUCUAGAGGAAUGCCAGCGGAGAAAUCGGCAUACUGGGAUUGUACUGACGCUGAGGUGCGAAAGCGUGGGGAGUGAACGGGAUUAGAUACCCCGGUAAUCCACGCCGUAAACGAUGUCUACUAGGUCGUGGCAGGUCUGACCCUGUCGCGGCCGCAGCAAAAGUGUUAAGUAGACCGCCUGGGGAGUACGGUCGCAAGGCUAAAACUCAAAGGAAUUGACGGGGGCUCACACAAGCGGUGGAGCAUGUGGCUUAAUUCGAAGCAACGCGAAGAACCUUAUCCUGGGUUUGACAUGUAUGGAUGGCUUUUUCUGAAAGGUUAAAGUCUGCCUUCGGGUGAAACAUACACAGGUGCUGCAUGGCUGUCGUCAGCUCGUGUCGUGAGAUGUCGGGUUAAGUCCCUUAACGAGCGAAACCCUUGUCUCUAGUUGCCAGCGCGUCAUGGCGGGGACUCUAAAGAGACUGCCGGUGUUAAACCGGAGGAAGGUGGGGAUGACGUCAAGUCCUCAUGGCCUUUAUGCCCAGGGCUGCACACGUGCUACAAUGGCGAUGACAAACCGAUGCAAGACCGUGAGGUGGAGCAAAUCGGAAAAACAUCGCCCCAGUUCGGAUUGCAGUCUGCAACUCGCCUGCAUGAAGUUGGAAUCGCUAGUAAUCGCGGAUCAGCUAUGCCGCGGUGAAUGUGUUCCUGAGCCUUGUACACACCGCCCGUCAAGUCAUGGGAGCCGGGAGUACCUGAAGUCGGGUAGUUAACCGCAGGGAGACGCCUGCCAAUGGUAAGCUCGGUGACUGGGGCUAAGUCGUAACAAGGUA
Molecule: ribosomal RNA, 1518 nt
Filed under: metagenome
Description: bacterial SSU rRNA
Rfam family: Bacterial small subunit ribosomal RNA
Source: RNAcentral